This 407-nucleotide ribosomal RNA is filed under the name uncultured bacterium. Its description in RNAcentral is "partial 16S ribosomal RNA". It matches the Rfam family "Bacterial small subunit ribosomal RNA", at positions 30 to 526 of the family's 1533-position model. The record is from RNAcentral.
AUUGAACGCUGGCGGCAGGCUUAACACAUGCAAGUCGAGCGGAGCGGCGGACGGGUGAGUAAUGCCUAGGAAUCUGCCCGGUAGCGGGGGAUAACGUCCGGAAACGGGCGCUAAUACCGCAUACUAUCACAGUAGCCUAGGUCGGAUUGGCUAGUUGGUGGGGGAAAGGCCUACCACGGCGACGAUCCGGAACUGGUCUGAGAGGAUGAUCAGUAACACUGGAACUGAGACACGGUCCAGACUCCUACGGGAGGCAGCAGUGGGGAAUAUUGGACAAUGGGCGAAAGCCUGAGCCGGCCAUGCCGCGUGUGUUAAGAAGGUCUUCGGAUUGUAAAGCACUUUAAGUUGGGAGGCGUUACCAACAGAAUAAGCACCGGCUAACUUCGUGCCAGCAGCCGCGGUAAUAC